This 119-nucleotide non-coding RNA is filed under the name Gorilla gorilla gorilla (western lowland gorilla). The record is from Rfam by way of RNAcentral. Lineage: Eukaryota; Metazoa; Chordata; Mammalia; Primates; Hominidae.
GCUGGGCAUGAUGGCUCAUGCCUGUAAUCCAAGCACUUCUUGGGAGGCCGAGUCAGGUGGAUCACUUGAGUCCAGGGGUUCGAGACCAGCCUGGGCAACAUAUUGAGACCCUGACUCUA